This 257-nucleotide unclassified non-coding RNA is filed under the name Hevea brasiliensis (rubber tree). Lineage: Eukaryota; Viridiplantae; Streptophyta; Magnoliopsida; Malpighiales; Euphorbiaceae. The record is from RNAcentral.
GAAGAAUCCGGUGUUGCCAAUUUCGGUCUUCCCGAGGAAGUGCUGGGAGUUCUACCGUCGGAUCCAUUCGAGCAGCUCGAUGUGGCUCGGAAAAUCACCUCCAUUGCUCUCUCGACGCGUGUUUCUGCUCUCGAAUCCGAAUCCUCCGCUCUCCAUGCGCAAAUUUCCGAGAAGGAUGCCCUCAUUGCGGAGCUGCAAUCGCAUAUUGAAUCCCUCGAUGCCGCUUUAUCCGAGAAAUCCGAAAUUCUUGCCCGUGC